AUAGAUGAACCUGUGGAAGGAUCAUUGUCGAGGCCCGCCGAGCAGCGAGACCUGCGAACCAGUGACCCUAACGAGAAACGCGUGGCUCAGGGAGCGCGAUGUCGCUCGCUCUCCCGGGGGACAACUCGAUGAACCACCACCAGCGUGAUGGGCACAAAGGAAUUAAUAUGAAAUGAGCGCGGCUCCCUCCGGGGAACUUACACAACUCUCGGCUCUCGCAUUAAUGAAGAACGUAGCGAAAUGCGAUACUUGACAUGAAUUAUAAAAUCCCGUGAACCAUCGAGUCUUUGAACGCAAGUUGCGCCCGAGGCCACCCGGCCAAGGGCACGCCUGCCUGGGCAUCACGCACCAUGCUGCCUCACUCGGCGCUUGCCACAUCCGGCAGAGGUAGCGUCAGGGGUGAAGACUGGCCACCCGUGCGCUCCACGCCGCAUGCCUGGUUGAAAAGCAUUCACUCCCCAAUCAGGGCGCGGAUGCCAUUGUAGGUAGUUUGAGAGGCGGCCGCCUCGUCGGAGCCCGGAUGCCUCGCCCGUCGCCUCUCGCUCAGGGAAAGAGUAAAGCGGCACCCAACUCGAUCACCCCGCGCCGCCCUCGCGGAGCGACCCUAGGUCAGGUCAUAGACACCCGCUGCGUUUAAGCAUAU
This 643-nucleotide unclassified non-coding RNA is filed under the name Magnolia insignis. RNAcentral describes it as "partial contains small subunit ribosomal RNA, internal transcribed spacer 1, 5.8S ribosomal RNA, internal transcribed spacer 2, and large subunit ribosomal RNA". The stretch from base 195 to 344 matches the Rfam family "5.8S ribosomal RNA". Lineage: Eukaryota; Viridiplantae; Streptophyta; Magnoliopsida; Magnoliales; Magnoliaceae. The record is from RNAcentral.